UUAAAAUAUUUACACAGAAAGCCUUCAUUAAACAGUUAAAACCCAAAUGAAUGCACAAUGCACAAUGAUGAAUGUAAACUUUAAAUAUAAAUUUAUCGCGUGAUGUGUCAAGUCUAAUUUUUCCGCAUUGUAUAUGUUGUUACGUAAAGAGAAAAGGAUAUUACUAUGCAGACAUGUUGAUUAGAGGUUGAUGGACACGUUGAAGAAUACUUAUCCUUGAUUGUACAAAGAUAAAACUAUGAGUGGAGCAGAAAAUGCGAAGAGAAAGCUACUUUUCAUUUCUAAAUUCAUUUCCCCGUCAAAUGCAGAAAUCGAUAUCCAUGGGAUAUGUGUAGCAGACGACAACUCCGUGCUUGUUAGUGAUGUGAACAAUAAACGCUUAUUGAGGUAUAACGAGUCAGGAGAAUUUCAGAAUAGUUGCCAUUUUAGUAUGAUUCCAAGAGAUAUUACCGUUAUACCAGGGAAGAACCAAGUCGCAGUCACCCUUCAGGAAUCCAGGUUUAGUUGUAAACCAGGAUUUAUCGCUAUAUUGGACAGUGAACAAUUAAACUUAAUCAGCCAAAAUGAAAUCAAAUGUACGCCAUUCGGAAUAGAUUGGUAUGAAAAUUUACUUGCCGUCGGCAGUUGGAAUACCGUCCAGUUUUAUGAUUUGAAUUUUUCUUUUGUAAGGAGUAUAGAAUUGCCAGAAGAUAAAAUAGCUGUAAAAUUUAUUAAAAGAGGACCAGACGGAACUUUGUUUUAUUCAACGUCGACCGCCAACUGUAUAUCCAGUGAUGGAAUCAAUAUUUUUAAAUUUUCUGUUGAGAAUGGAAUCCCUAAAGGCCUAUGUGUAGAUAAAGAUAAAAUGUUGUACAUUUCUUGUUGUAGCAGUACAAUUUUAGGUAUAUCAGAUAAAGGUCACCUCAUCGGUACUUUACUCAAAGGGGAUCAAGGAUUAGGUCAAUUAGGUUCCCUGUGUUUCAACAAAGAUUAUACCAAACUUUACGUUGCGAGUGAUGAUGGAUCAUCCCUGUCAGUUUUGGAUUUUUUAAAAGAAUAAAUCCUGAAAAAAUGAUAAGGGAAGUUUUUAAGAAUAUUAUUGUUCAUUUUCUAUUACCAAAAGGAAUUUUUAGGAAGAAUAAUAAGAGAUGACACGAAAAAAUGGUGAACCAGUCUUAUGCAUGUUAUGACGAUGUACAGUACAAACUAUACAAUCGAGACCAAAUAGUCAAAAGAUCUUCAUAUAGCUCACUAAUUAAUAUCCAAGAACAGUCAUAUGCAGAAACCAAUAGAAUAUUUGUAAACAACAGCGUGAAAGUAGGACUGACGUAAAUACACACACAAUAGAUUUUAUUGUAAAGCCGAUAAUGGAAUUUUCUAACUGUAUGGGAAACUGUCAAUUUAUUUGAGUAUAUUCUAUAGGAUGCAUGCUUUAUUGUCGGGUCGCUGAUGGAGUUUGUACACAUCUAUUUGUUUAUGAACAGUUAAUUAGUGUUUCUUCGGAUGAAUAACAAAAUAUGUGGCUAUAGACAGAAAAAUAUCUCUUCCUUGAAUUUAAUAUCCAGUUAAUUAAUUAUGCAUACACUAAUUAAAGUAUCUUUCAGACAU
Mytilus californianus (California mussel) is the source of this 1587-nucleotide long non-coding RNA. RefSeq lists it as uncharacterized. The record is from RefSeq and is a predicted model, not a curated record. NCBI's taxonomy places the organism in Eukaryota, Metazoa, Mollusca, Bivalvia, Mytilida, Mytilidae. The transcript is spliced from 2 exons.